This 1012-nucleotide ribosomal RNA is filed under the name Bacillus subtilis. RNAcentral's name for it is "bacterial SSU rRNA". It matches the Rfam family "Bacterial small subunit ribosomal RNA", at positions 531 to 1533 of the family's 1533-position model. Lineage: Bacteria; Bacillati; Bacillota; Bacilli; Caryophanales; Bacillaceae. The record is from RNAcentral.
GGGGGGUACGGUGCUCGGAAUAUUGCGGCGUAAGGGCUCGCAGGCGGUUUCUUAAGUCUGAUGUGAAAGCCCCCGGCUCAACCGGGGAGGGUCAUUGGAAACUGGGGAACUUGAGUGCAGAAGAGGAGAGUGGAAUUCCACGUGUAGCGGUGAAAUGCGUAGAGAUGUGGAGGAACACCAGUGGCGAAGGCGACUCUCUGGUCUGUAACUGACGCUGAGGAGCGAAAGCGUGGGGAGCGAACAGGAUUAGAUACCCUGGUAGUCCACGCCGUAAACGAUGAGUGCUAAGUGUUAGGGGGUUUCCGCCCCUUAGUGCUGCAGCUAACGCAUUAAGCACUCCGCCUGGGGAGUACGGUCGCAAGACUGAAACUCAAAGGAAUUGACGGGGGCCCGCACAAGCGGUGGAGCAUGUGGUUUAAUUCGAAGCAACGCGAAGAACCUUACCAGGUCUUGACAUCCUCUGACAAUCCUAGAGAUAGGACGUCCCCUUCGGGGGCAGAGUGACAGGUGGUGCAUGGUUGUCGUCAGCUCGUGUCGUGAGAUGUUGGGUUAAGUCCCGCAACGAGCGCAACCCUUGAUCUUAGUUGCCAGCAUUCAGUUGGGCACUCUAAGGUGACUGCCGGUGACAAACCGGAGGAAGGUGGGGAUGACGUCAAAUCAUCAUGCCCCUUAUGACCUGGGCUACACACGUGCUACAAUGGACAGAACAAAGGGCAGCGAAACCGCGAGGUUAAGCCAAUCCCACAAAUCUGUUCUCAGUUCGGAUCGCAGUCUGCAACUCGACUGCGUGAAGCUGGAAUCGCUAGUAAUCGCGGAUCAGCAUGCCCGGUGGAAUAACGUUUCCCGGGGCCUUGUACACACCGGCCCGUCACACCACGAAGAGUUUGUAACACCCGAAGUCCGGUGAGGUAACCUUUUUAGGAGCCAGCCGCCCGAAGGUGGGACAGAUGAUUGGGGUGAACUAACACCGAAACCCCCCUCACAUAUAUAUAUAAAAAAAAAAAGGGGCGGG